CCUUCGGGAUUAGUGGCGGACGGGUGAGUAACACGUGGGAACGUGCCUUUUGGUUCGGAACAACUCAGGGAAACUUGAGCUAAUACCGAAUGUGCCCUUCGGGGGAAAGAUUUAUCGCCAUUAGAGCGGCCCGCGUCUGAUUAGCUAGUUGGUAGGGUAAAGGCCUACCAAGGCUACGAUCAGUAGCUGGUCUGAGAGGAUGAUCAGCCACACUGGGACUGAGACACGGCCCAG
RNAcentral lists this ribosomal RNA (234 nucleotides) under uncultured bacterium. Its description in RNAcentral is "partial 16S ribosomal RNA". It matches the Rfam family "Bacterial small subunit ribosomal RNA", at positions 83 to 334 of the family's 1533-position model. The record is from RNAcentral.